CCCAUGGCUGUUUGCUGCCAGGUCGGUGCUGAGGAUCAAACGCAGGUGUCUGGAAGAUCUCCGGCUUCUGAUAAGAAGCAAGCUCCACCCUUGUCAUCAUGCCUUUGAAGGGCUUUUAGUGUUGCAAGGAGACACCAUGACUACCUCAGCUCUUUCAAAGAAAACAGUUAAUUAAGAUGGUGGCUCACCGUUUCAGAGGUUCAGUCCGUUAUCAUCAUGAAGG
Long non-coding RNA from Microtus oregoni (creeping vole), 223 nucleotides. RefSeq lists it as uncharacterized. NCBI's taxonomy places the organism in Eukaryota, Metazoa, Chordata, Mammalia, Rodentia, Cricetidae. The record is from RefSeq and is a predicted model, not a curated record. The transcript is spliced from 3 exons.